CAGCCGCCGCGGGAAUACGUAGGGUCCGAGCGUUGUCCGGAAUUAUUGGGCGUAAAGAGCUCGUAGGCGGUCUGUCGCGUCUGCCGUGAAAUCCUCAGGCUCAACCUGAGGCGUGCGGUGGGUACGGGCAGGCUAGAGUGCGGUAGGGGAGAAUGGAACUCCUGGUGUAGCGGUGGAAUGCGCAGAUAUCAGGAAGAACACCGAUGGCGAAGGCAGUUCUCUGGGCCGUAACUGACGCUGAGGAGCGAAAGCGUGGGGAGCGAACAGGAUUAGAUACCCCUGUAGUCCCUGUCUCUUAUAC
Molecule: ribosomal RNA, 301 nt
Filed under: uncultured bacterium
Lineage: Bacteria
Description: partial 16S ribosomal RNA
Rfam family: Bacterial small subunit ribosomal RNA
Source: RNAcentral